AGAGUGUAGUGCAGCCAAGGAUGACUUGCCGGCAUUAGCCAAGUGAAUGAGCAUCAUAUAUAUAUAUAUAUAUAUAUAUAUAUAUAUGACUCAUGUUCUUGUCGGCAAGUUGGCCUUGGCUAUAUUGGACUCUCU
Non-coding RNA from Glycine max (soybean), 135 nucleotides. The record is from Rfam. NCBI's taxonomy places the organism in Eukaryota, Viridiplantae, Streptophyta, Magnoliopsida, Fabales, Fabaceae.